RNAcentral lists this ribosomal RNA (468 nucleotides) under uncultured bacterium. Its description in RNAcentral is "partial 16S ribosomal RNA". It matches the Rfam family "Bacterial small subunit ribosomal RNA", at positions 28 to 507 of the family's 1533-position model. The record is from RNAcentral.
GACGAACGCUGGCGGCGUGCUUAAUACAUGCAAGUCGAACGGACAGGCCCUGCUUUUGUGGGUUGCUCGUGUGCCGAACGGGUGAGUAACACGUGUGUAUCCUGCCCUUAUCUUUCUGAUAACUCUAGGAAACUGGGGCGCAUACCGCAGAGGAGCUCUUGCUGCACGUUGUGGGUUGGAAAGUUACGGCGGUUGUGGAUGGAAUCGAGGCUUAUCAGCUUGUUGGUGAGGUAGUGGCGUACGAGGGCUUUGACGGGUAGCCGGCCUGAGAGGGUGAACGGCGACAUGACUACUGAGAGACGGCGCAGUAGCCAACGUGAGGCAGUAGUGGGGAGUAUUGCAGAAUGGGCGGGAGUGUGAUGCAGCAACGUUGCGUGCGGGAUGACGGGUUUCGGGUUAAAAACCGAUGUCGAAGGUGACGUAGCGUUAGUGACGGUAAUGGGUAAGAAAGCACCGGCUAACUACGUG